This 466-nucleotide ribosomal RNA is filed under the name uncultured bacterium. Its description in RNAcentral is "bacterial SSU rRNA". It matches the Rfam family "Bacterial small subunit ribosomal RNA", at positions 355 to 825 of the family's 1533-position model. The record is from RNAcentral.
UAGGGAAUAUUGGACAAUGGGUGAGAGCCUGAUCCAGCCAUGCCGCGUGCAGGAAGAAGGCGUUAUGCGUUGUAAACUGCUUUUGCCAGGGGAUAAAAAGACCGUGCGCGGUUAAUUGAAGGUACCUGGUGAAUAAGCCACGGCUAACUACGUGCCAGCAGCCGCGGUAAUACGUAGGUGGCAAGCGUUGUCCGGAUUUAUUGGGUUUAAAGGGUGCGUAGGUGGCCCUGUAAGUCAGUGGUGAAAUAUCUCAGCUUAACUGAGAGGGUGCCAUUGAUACUGCAGGGCUUGAGUACAGAUGAGGUAGGCGGAAUUGACGGUGUAGCGGUGAAAUGCAUAGAUAUCGUCAAGAACACCGAUAGCGAAGGCAGCUUACUAAGCUGUAACUGACGCUGAGGCACGAAAGUGUGGGGAUCAAACAGGAUUAGAUACCCUUGUAGUCCCUGAGCGGGCUGGCAAGGCGCAU